Molecule: long non-coding RNA, 796 nt
Organism: Labrus bergylta (ballan wrasse)
Lineage: Eukaryota; Metazoa; Chordata; Actinopteri; Labriformes; Labridae
Source: RefSeq, a predicted model, not a curated record
CGAAUUUCCAAUAUCGAGUAGCCUAGUUUGCGGCCUUCCGGCCUGGAGGCGAAAGUUGGCAGGGCAUUUCCCAAAUGUGUCCUUUAGGCUUACAGGUUGUUUUAGUUUCAACCUGCACACUAAACACUAAACACAUGGCUGGCUUCAUUUAAGACCAAACAUUUGUCCGACCCUGCUGAAAGACGCCCUCGACCCUAAACAUGAAAUUACAGGCGGCCAGAGUUGAAGCUCCAAGCAGGCUGAAGUAAACCAGACUGGAACAGAUAUGCAUCUCUACAGUCCUUGGGGGAAAGAGUUGUACUCAAGCAGGAUAUGUGGUAUUGCGGUGGAGCAGCUAUGUUACCUGCUGAUUCUGAUACGCUGUGACGGUGGUGAACACGGUCUCAGGGAAAGCGAAGGUGCGGGUUCCCUCUCCAGCAGGCACAGCUCUCACUGGGGAUAACUCCUCUCCACACUCCUUACGGAUCACAUGGACCCUUGGCUGGUACUUGUGCAUGGAGUGCAGAAUGAUCUGAACACAUAAAGAAAUAUUCCUUCAGGCUUAAAUUGCACAACAGCUCUUCAAUUUAACUCAAAGCUGUAAAACACGAUUGUUAUAUAACAGACAUGCACACAUGUGGAUGCGUAGAAACAUGCGGAAAAUUGGAGUUUAUUUGGCUUAUUCCAUCUUUUAAAAUCUUAAAAGCUACUGCAUUAUUAUUGCAAAGAAACUUGAUACAAGAUUAUGAUCAAUGAUUAAAUCAUACAUACCAACUGUAACUGUAAAAUGCCAGAUAAUAAAGAUAUUUCAAAUGAC